RNAcentral lists this long non-coding RNA (509 nucleotides) under Homo sapiens (human). RNAcentral's name for it is "non-protein coding lnc-TP53TG3-33:2". Lineage: Eukaryota; Metazoa; Chordata; Mammalia; Primates; Hominidae. The record is from RNAcentral.
AUUACUGAUUUUGGGCACUCCAAGAUUUUGGGAGAGACCUCUCUCGUGAGAACCUUAUGUGGAACCCCCACCUGCUUGGCUCCUGAAGUUCUUGUUUGUGUUGGACUGCUGGGUUUUAGGAGUUAUUCUUUUUAUCUGCCUUAGUGGGUAUCCACCUUUCUCUGAGCAUAGGACUCAAGUGUCACUGAAGGAUCAGAUCACCAGUGGAAAACACAACUUCAUUCCUAAAGUCUGGGCAGAAAUCUCAGAGAAAGCUCUGGACCUUGUCAAGAAGUUGUUGGUAGUGGAUCCAAAGGCAUGUUUUACGACAGAAGAAGCCUUAAGACACCAUGGUUUCAGGAUGAAGACAUGAAGAGAAAGUUUCAAGAUCUUCUGUCUGAGGAAAAUGAAUCCACAGGUCUAUCCCAGGUUCUAGCCCAGCCUUCUACUAGUCGAAAGCGGCCUCGUGAAGGGGAAGCCGAGGGUGCCGAGACCACAAAGCGCCCGGCUGUGUGUGCUGCUGUGUUGUG